RNAcentral lists this ribosomal RNA (497 nucleotides) under uncultured bacterium. RNAcentral describes it as "partial 16S ribosomal RNA". It matches the Rfam family "Bacterial small subunit ribosomal RNA", at positions 28 to 507 of the family's 1533-position model. The record is from RNAcentral.
GAUGAACGCUGGCGGCGUGCCUAAUACAUGCAAGUCGAGCGAACAGACGAGGAGCUUGCUCCUCUGACGUUAGCGGCGGACGGGUGAGUAACACGUGGAUAACCUACCUAUAAGACUGGGAUAACUUCGGGAAACCGGAGCUAAUACCGGAUAAUAUAUUGAACCGCAUGGUUCAAUAGUGAAAGACGGUUUUGCUGUCACUUAUAGAUGGAUCCGCGCCGCAUUAGCUAGUUGGUAAGGUAACGGCUUACCAAGGCAACGAUGCGUAGCCGACCUGAGAGGGUGAUCGGCCACACUGGAACUGAGACACGGUCCAGACCCCUACGGGAGGCAGCAGUAGGGAAUAUUCCGCAAUGGGCGAAAGCCUGACGGAGCAACGCCGCGUGAGUGAUGAAGGUCUUCGGAUCGUAAAACUCUGUUAUUAGGGAAGAACAAAUGUGUAAGUAACUAUGCACGUCUUGACGGUACCUAAUCAGAAAGCCACGGCUAACUACGUG